GAUGAACGCUAGCUACAGGCUUAACACAUGCAAGUCGAGGGGCAGCAUGCAGGUAGCUUGCUAUCUGUGAUGGCGACCGGCGCACGGGUGAGUAACGCGUAUCCAACCUUCCCCGUAGUAGGGCACAGCCCGGCGAAAGUCGGAUUAAUUCCCUAUGUUCUCCAAUGCAGGCAUCUAAGUUGGAGCAAAGAUUCAUCGCUAUGGGAUGGGGAUGCGUCUGAUUAGGUUGUCGGCGGGGUAACGGCCCACCGAGCCUGCGAUCAGUAGGGGUUCUGAGAGGAAGGUCCCCCACAUUGGAACUGAGACACGGUCCAAACUCC
Molecule: ribosomal RNA, 320 nt
Filed under: uncultured Prevotella sp.
Lineage: Bacteria; Pseudomonadati; Bacteroidota; Bacteroidia; Bacteroidales; Prevotellaceae
Description: bacterial SSU rRNA
Rfam family: Bacterial small subunit ribosomal RNA
Source: RNAcentral